ACCAAGGCUGGAGUAAAAAUUAAAUUACUGCUGUUGCAAAGGAGGGAAAAAAUUUAGGCUGUAAAAAAGUGAACUUUCAGCUUGUGUAACAGGGUUGGAAGCAGAAUUUCUGGUGGAGUGAGUUGAUGAGCAAUAGGUAGUCCUGGAGUGUCCAGAAAAACAAGGCUGGCUCCUCAUUUCACAGGUGUGAGGCAUUACCUUUUGGUGAGAGAGGAGGAGGACAGAAGCCAAGAGGCACCAGCUCUGCCCAGUUGCUAGAGGUGUAGUCUAUAAACUGCCACAAAGGGGCAGGAUGUACUUAUUUUUCAUAUGCAGCCCACUCGGAGACUUCAUCUUGGGCUCGUCCAUCCGUAAACACAAUGGAGAUUCGAGGGACAUUUGCUGAAAAUGGUCUUGCUCCUUCUGUUUCUGUGAAGCUUCUCUCAAACAUUUGCUUCAGAGCCAGUCCUGUCAUGGAACCUCGCCCCAUGUACUUCAUUUGCGAUACAGCUUUCUUCAUGUCUUUGGCUGAGCUGAACUGCCUUAAUGUAAACUCUGUGCGAACUUCAGUGGAAUACUGAAGCAAACCAACUCGAGCAGCUUUGGGUGAAAUUUCAAGUGAAUCCAAGAUUCCUGAGACAAAUUGUUUUACAAUUUCAAAAUUAUCCUCUCCAAGACUUUUUGAUCCAUCAAUCACAAACACCAGGUCAACUGGGCCUUCAGUGCAUCCUGUGAAAUAAGCAGCAGAGUGUUCAGAUCAUGAAAAAACUCCACAAAGCUGAAAAAGGGACCUAGGUAACCAGGGACUGUAUAAACUUAGAGAUCACCUGAGUUUCUGGCUCAUCCAACUUUGCCAGUGUGUCUAAAGAUGUUGUGUACAGUCUAUAUCAAAAGCUAACAGUGUGCCUAUAACCAAGAGUUUAACAAAAAUAUAAUCACAGUGAAUACGUACUGAGACAUACUGCUUAGCAGAAUACUACAACUCUUAAAAAUACAGCAACAAUCAGCAAAUUUUAAGAAUGACUGUUAAGUGGAGAGAAUUGUGUAACUGAAGAACAUAGCUGGGAUAUAGAGACAGCUGCCAUCAUUUUCUUUCAGGGAUAGGCCAGUAUGCUAACUUUACAUUUGUGUAGAUGACCAGCAAUAAAAGACAUGGAAGAGAAUCAUUGGAGCUGCAUUUGUGUUGCAGAAGUAGCAAAAAGGUAAAGGUGGUACAAAGAAAUGAGUCAGUGAAACCACACUUGUAUAUAAGGUGAAAAUCUAGGAGUCAUAUUUAGAGUGGCAGGGAACAGUGAGGCAAAAGCCAAAGAGCCUGGGGAAGGCUGAGCGAGAAGAGAAGGGUUAGGCAGCCUGUCCUAGGGCUUAGGAUGAGGGUCAAGUCUGGGGACAAAAUUCAGACAGUGCACAUGUUUUUAUAGCACAAAGUUAAACCUGUAGUGGCAGAAAAACAGCUAAAAAACUAUAGGUGAGAGAGUAAAUGCUAGAAAUACGCCUAGCUGCUAAACAUGGAUCAGAGUUGUUUAUAUAAGUUUUUUUGCUUGUAACUCUCUAACAGUCUUGUAAUUAGAAGGCUUAUGUAUUGCUGAAAUUAACCUUUUCUGGUUUACCCAUUAAAGCUGGGAGUUUGUCAGGAGACUGACAAAUUUGGAGUUCUCAUACUUUUUGGCAAGUGCACACACAAAAAUCAAAGCAGUUUGUAGGCACUGUGCAUCCAUGACAAGGUUAAGGAAUUUAGGGACUGGAGAAUAUCUUUGAAGCUGCAGACUGGUUCUGCCAGGUGUUUUUUUAUUCUGGAAAGCAAUUGCCUCCAGCAGGCAUAGACUAGUGCACUUUGUGCAAGGGACUGGCUGCAGAGAUUCUCAGCUCCUAUUUGAUCAAUAUAACUUCCAGGGAGAAUUUGCCAUACUAAGGAAUGUAAGAUUUGCAUCUUAGUCUGGAGCAAAUGAACUUUGACCUCCACUCAUCUCUGAUGUUUGUAUAGUAAGAAUGCUGUAAGUGCUAUACAAGAGAACUGUGCAGCAGAAAUUACUUUGACUGCAGAAAUUACUGUUACCAAGUCAGUGUAGGAAUAAGGAAUUUUCAGCUUUAAAGCUUGGGCUUUUCUUCUUAGACUGUAGCUCAAUUUUAAAACUGCUGUCCAAGAAUUCCUUUCUGCAGUCAUCUGAGGAAAAGAUGUGUCACACAUACUAAGGCAAUGGAAAUGCAAUGAAUAAAAGUAUCAGAACCACCUCAAUAUCAUUGCGUAAGUCAAGAUAGGGCAGCAGUUCAUGGUGAAUGGUUUUAGUUAGGAUUGAGAUCAGCCACAAACAUGUUACCAUUCUUUUGGUAAUAAGUCUCCCCAACCAAGGCAUCCAUUUUUGCAGAAUAAAUGUUUUUACUGAGUUCCAGUAGAAGAAUUUCUCUUCCAAGUACUAAGGGGUGAUGAGAUAAAUGCAUGUCAUACUCUAAGCAUGUCAUGUUGGAAGAUAAGCAAAUAGAAUUAAUCAUAUUUUAAAAUGGAGUAUAUAAAGAUAAAAGCUUCACAAUAUAUGAAUCUGAUUAAAGUACACAUUCCUUGAUAAUCAGAUUUCACUUUGGCUUUUUUCCUGAUGUUUGGAAAGAAUUAUUAUUGUACUUGGUGCAACACCAAAACAACUGUUCCAAUUUGUUAGUUUUCUGCUUAUGAGAGCAUCAGGUUAAUUGUUCAAGACAUUUUGCAUCACACUCACAUAUGCUUUGGGCUUUCAAAUAUCAUACCAUUUUUGAAGUGAGGCAUUUUUUGAAGUGAGGCGUUUGAAGUGAGGUCAAGUAAUUUUAGAAAUCAAGCAAACAAAUGCUUUCUAAAUAAAAUGUACUUACUUCUGCA
Long non-coding RNA from Aquila chrysaetos chrysaetos, 2824 nucleotides. RefSeq lists it as uncharacterized. The transcript is spliced from 2 exons. Lineage: Eukaryota; Metazoa; Chordata; Aves; Accipitriformes; Accipitridae. The record is from RefSeq and is a predicted model, not a curated record.